This is a long non-coding RNA of Cyanistes caeruleus (blue tit), 1906 nucleotides long. The record is from Ensembl. Lineage: Eukaryota; Metazoa; Chordata; Aves; Passeriformes; Paridae.
CGCGCAUGCGCGGGCCGCCCGCCAGCGGCUCGCACGUGCGGCCGCGCCGCACCCAUCCGCUAGGGGGCGCUGUGCCUUUCGUGAGGGAGCGGGAACGCCCUGAGGGGGUCAUCGUGUUCUGAGGGGACAUACCACCACUGAGAGGUCACUGUGCCUGAGGCGACAUGCCACCAGAGGGGUCACUGUGACUGAGGGGACAUCACACCCACGAGAGUGCACUGUGUCCUAAGGCGACAGCGCACUCCUGGGGGUUCACUGUGCCCAGAGCUACAAUCCCUCCUUAAAGGACAUUUUAGCCCGGAUGGGGCCGCAUAGUUUUCCAUCAGGAAGAGAUGAAAUCUCGUCAUCUGCUCCACCAUGUAGUUAUAAAAUAACCAGGUCUGUUGGUGGGCAUGAUGCAAAGGGAAGGCACGUGCCUGUGGUAACGGGGAGGCCCUGCAGUGACAGCUCCAUGACUCAGCCACCUCCUGUGCUGCAGCCUUACACCACAAGCACAAGACCCUCCUUCCAGGCAAUGCUUAGUGGAGAGCUCUCUGGUCCGACUGCUGGUUACUACUAAACUGUCCAGACCAGUGGAGAAAAUGCUUUGAUGUUAAUGAGCUGCAGACAAUUUCACUUAACACCAAGCAGAGCCUGGCAUCUCAGAGGUAAGACUUUCAAGGCAGGUCCUACAGCAAGUCUCUCCAACAUCCGUUUUGCCAUAAGAACAGAAAAUACUCAGAAAGACAUUUGAGCAGAAACCUGUCUUCUCACACAGUCUUGCACCACACCCAAUAUCAUUACAGCCACAGAGAUGCCAGAGGCAGGGAAGUAGUGAGAAUUAAAAACGGCCCGAUAGAAUCACAUGACCUCUGUGGGACUCAGUAGAAGCAUGAUUUACCCUCUUGCCCCAUUAAUUGCCUGCUUCUGUGGUCAUGCAGAAGGAAUACACAGCAAUGGGAAAAGGGGAUAGACUCUAAAUUGCUGAUUUUUCUGGUUCCUGUGUGGCUGGUCUUCAAGGCAACGCCAUUCUGAACGUGGCACCUUUUCCAUUGGCACAGCAGAUGUCUGAAUGAAAGGGGCCAGCUGCAGUAAAGUGAGAUGUGCACAAGCAGCCUUGGACUAUCCUCUUUCUUAAGUGGAUAUUCAGCAAAAACUUUCCUGUCAAUCUGGUCCAGGCAGCAGCACAUUGCCAAGUGCACACAAACCUCAGAGACAGGGUACAAAAGAGUCUGUGGAUGUGUUGUAGCUUCCUUGGCUUCAGUCAGCCCUUGUUGUGGGCCCUAGACCAGGAGGUUGGGUUUUCUCCCUAGAGUAAUACCUCAUGUACUGGAGAGGGUCCAGAUUAGGCAGAAUUCCUGCUGUGGAGAGAUAGUGUGGGAAACACAGAACGGUGAGAAAGAUAUCUGUCCAGUGGAAAUGUGAGGUAUCACAGUGUCAGGAAGGAAGCACUGAACCACAAGUUUGAACAAAGACAAGGGAGAAGAAAAGUACAAAUUCAAUUUUGUAACUCUCUGCCCAUUAUCGUAUCGCAUAAACUCUGUUUCUAUCCAGAAUCUGUAAACUUUUGAAUGUAGUGACCCAGUCCUCUGAGAAGUCCCAGCCAAGCAGAAGCAAACACAGACUAGGUCUGAGCAAGAAGAGUAACAAAUGAGACUUCACUGAAAGUUAAACAUUCUUCUUCUGAGGAAUGUGGCAUAAUUCCAAUAUAUUGCCUUUGUUAAAUGAUUUAUAGCAAUGAGAGAGAGAUACUAACUCUUCAGUUUUCUUGCCAGAACAGGAUUAUUCCCCGCAGAAAACUGGAUUACACAGUUAAAAUAAUGCAAGCCAAGUCCAAAUGCUUGUGCUAUGCCCACUGCAGGAAGGAGUUCACACAAAUGCAUGUGAGCCUACACUGAAAUAAAACCUAAUGAGGUAGAAAGUGACA